RNAcentral lists this long non-coding RNA (990 nucleotides) under Pogona vitticeps (central bearded dragon). RNAcentral describes it as "lncRNA (ENSPVIG00000014458.1)". The record is from RNAcentral. Lineage: Eukaryota; Metazoa; Chordata; Lepidosauria; Squamata; Agamidae.
GAGAAGGCGAAGAUUAUGAUUAUGUGGGCAACCUUCCCAAGAGCAGCUAUGUCAACAGUUGCAAGAAUGAUGGUUUCACAAAGAAAGGAAUGUCUUCUUAACCCUGCUGGUGCUACGGUAGGUGAUAUAAAAAGAAGUAUGAAUAAUUUAGUUGAAAAAGCAGCUCCCUCGCCAUCAAAGGACAUCACCCUGGUGACAGAGGAUGUCGCAUGGCCUUGGAUAACGGAUUAGAAUCAAAGACAUCAUAAAAAGGAUACAUUUGGCGAAGACGACCGUGGUGGUUUGGAUGCCUUUCGUUCUUUGUGAAAAGGGACAUAUGGAACUUUCCAAAGAGAAGCGUUUUCUAACGACGCGUCCCAAGCAAUUUCCAUUCUUGAAAAGAAAGAACGCUUGACGGUGGCCAAGCUCCUUGUCGAAUCUAAGCAAAAAGCGAACGUGGGAAUAUCUGGAGAGUGCUGCUAUGGGAACACCAGGUGAUGCCUUGGGAAGUAACUGCAAUUCGUGGUGGUAGAGCACAUGGUUUGGAAGCCAUGGUUCCCAGCUUGACUUCCCAGCAGCUCCAGGACGGGUUAGGGAAGAGCCCAUCUUGAUACCCCAGAGAGAGGCUGGCAAUCUGAGUUGAUGAUAGGGAUGGGAUUUUCUGAUUUCUUGAACUACAGAUCCCAUAAUUCACCAUUCAGGGAGUUCUGUCUCGCUUACACACACCCUAUAGGCUUCUAAAUGUGACUCUCCUGGAAAAAAUAUAUCUGAGUGCUCAUUGAAAGCAUUCAAGAAUGCUCACUGCCUUCUGAAGUAAUGGGUUCUGUCAUUGUACUACUCUAACUGUUAAGACGUUUUCAACUGAAAUCUGGCCUCCUAUAACUUGAGCCUAUUGUUACAUAUCCUGAUCCAACAAAAGGAUAAUAAGCCAUGAAAAAUUUGGUAGUUCCUUUACAGAAACAAUCGUAAAAAAUAAGUGAGGAGAGAAAAUGACACUCAGAUCUAUCUAUA